UAUCCACAGAGCAGAUAGAGCAUUGGGAGAACAAUGCGAUCUUCCCCACACUGUCCUGUCAACAUACCUCAACCGUGACUUUGAGGAACCAUCUGUCCUGUUA
This 103-nucleotide small RNA is filed under the name Chrysemys picta bellii (western painted turtle). RNAcentral's name for it is "TUC338 (ENSCPBG00000006679.1)". The record is from RNAcentral. Lineage: Eukaryota; Metazoa; Chordata; Testudines; Emydidae.